AACGAUGAAGCCCUUCGGGGUGGAUUAGUGGCGAACGGGUGAGUAACACGUGGGCAAUCUGCCCUUCACUCUGGGACAAGCCCUGGAAACGGGGUCUAAUACCGGAUAACACUUCCGUCCUCCUGGACGGUGGUUAAAAGCUCCGGCGGUGAAGGAUGAGCCCGCGGCCUAUCAGCUUGUUGGUGAGGUAAUGGCUCACCAAGGCGACGACGGGUAGCCGGCCUGAGAGGGCGACCGGCCACACUGGGACUGAGACACGGCCCAGACUCCUACGGGAGGCAGCAGUGGGGAAUAUUGCACAAUGGGCGAAAGCCUGAUGCAGCGACGCCGCGUGAGGGAUGACGGCCUUCGGGUUGUAAACCUCUUUCAGCAGGGAAGAAGCGAAAGUGACGGUACCUGCAGAAGAAGCGCCGGCUAACUACGUGCCAGCAGCCGCGGUAAUACGUAGGGCGCAAGCGUUGUCCGGAAUUAUUGGGCGUAAAGAGCUCGUAGGCGGCUUGUCACGUCGGUUGUGAAAGCCCGGGGCUUAACCCCGGGUCUGCAGUCGAUACGGGCAGGCUAGAGUGUGGUAGGGGAGAUCGGAAUUCCUGGUGUAGCGGUGAAAUGCGCAGAUAUCAGGAGGAACACCGGUGGCGAAGGCGGAUCUCUGGGCCAUUACUGACGCUGAGGAGCGAAAGCGUGGGGAGCGAACAGGAUUAGAUACCCUGGUAGUCCACGCCGUAAACGGUGGGAACUAGGUGUUGGCGACAUUCCACGUCGUCGGUGCCGCAGCUAACGCAUUAAGUUCCCCGCCUGGGGAGUACGGCCGCAAGGCUAAAACUCAAAGGAAU
Molecule: ribosomal RNA, 830 nt
Filed under: Streptomyces sp.
Lineage: Bacteria; Bacillati; Actinomycetota; Actinomycetes; Kitasatosporales; Streptomycetaceae
Description: bacterial SSU rRNA
Rfam family: Bacterial small subunit ribosomal RNA
Source: RNAcentral